UGGGGAAUCUUGGACAAUGGGCGCAAGCCUGAUCCAGCCAUGCCGCGUGAGUGAUGAAGGCCCUAGGGUUGUAAAGCUCUUUCGCCAGGGAAGAUAAUGACGGUACCUGGAUAAGAAGCCCCGGCUAACUCCGUGCCAGCAGCCGCGGUAAUACGGAGGGGGCUAGCGUUGUUCGGAAUUACUGGGCGUAAAGCGCACGUAGGCGGCUAUCCAAGUUGGGGGUGAAAUCCCUGGGCUUAACCCAGGAACUGCCUUCAAAACUGGAUGGCUAGAGUCCGAGAGAGGUGAGUGGAAUUUCCAGUGUAGAGGUGAAAUUCGUAGAUAUUGGAAAGAACACCAGUGGCGAAGGCGGCUCACUGGCUCGGUACUGACGCUGAGGUGCGACAGCGUGGGGAGCAAACA
Molecule: ribosomal RNA, 402 nt
Filed under: uncultured bacterium
Lineage: Bacteria
Description: bacterial SSU rRNA
Rfam family: Bacterial small subunit ribosomal RNA
Source: RNAcentral